Molecule: small nucleolar RNA, 167 nt
Organism: Chelmon rostratus (copperband butterflyfish)
Lineage: Eukaryota; Metazoa; Chordata; Actinopteri; Chaetodontiformes; Chaetodontidae
Product: small nucleolar RNA SNORD97
Exons: 1
Source: RefSeq, a predicted model, not a curated record
AUGCCCAGUGAUUAUAAAAAGACGCGUUAUUCUGAGGAACACAACCUGCUGCCGGUCUGUCCUCCACCUUCCUCUCUUUGCUCCGUCUUUCCUAUCCUCCCUCCACUCCUUCUUUUCUUUAAACUGGUAGCUGGUCCAUUGACUGCGAUUAUGAGAUAUGAGGGCAU